CCUACGGGGGGCAGCAGUGGGGAAUAUUGCACAAUGGGCGCAAGCCUGAUGCAGCGACGCCGCGUGGGGGAUGACGGCCUUCGGGUUGUAAACCUCUUUCAGCUACGACGAAGCGGAAGUGACGGUAGUAGCAGAAGAAGCACCGGCCAACUACGUGCCAGCAGCCGCGGUAAUACGUAGGGUGCGAGCGUUGUCCGGAAUUACUGGGCGUAAAGAGCUCGUAGGUGGUUUGUCGCGUUGUUCGUGAAAACUCACAGCUUAACUGUGGGCGUGCGGGCGAUACGGGCAGACUGGAGUACUGUAGGGGAGACUGGAAUUCCUGGUGUAGCGGUGGAAUGCGCAGAUAUCAGGAGGAACACCGGUGGCGAAGGCGGGUCUCUGGGCAGUAACUGACGCUGAGGAGCGAAAGCGUGGGGAGCGAACAGGAUUAGAUACCCUGGUAGUCGAU
Molecule: ribosomal RNA, 448 nt
Filed under: uncultured Mycobacterium sp.
Lineage: Bacteria; Bacillati; Actinomycetota; Actinomycetes; Mycobacteriales; Mycobacteriaceae
Description: bacterial SSU rRNA
Rfam family: Bacterial small subunit ribosomal RNA
Source: RNAcentral